Molecule: ribosomal RNA, 297 nt
Filed under: uncultured bacterium
Lineage: Bacteria
Description: partial 16S ribosomal RNA
Rfam family: Bacterial small subunit ribosomal RNA
Source: RNAcentral
UAAGUCCUACGGGGCGCAGCAGUGGGGAAUAUUGGGCAAUGGGCGCAAGCCUGACCCAGCAACGCCGCGUGAAGGAAGAAGGCUUUCGGGUUGUAAACUUCUUUUGACAAGGAAGAGCAGAAGACGGUACCUGUCGAAUAAGCCACGGCUAACUACGUGCCAGCAGCCGCGGAAAUACGUAGGUGGCAAGCGUUGUCCGGAUUUACUGGGUGUAAAGUGCGUGUAGCCGGGCUGACAAGUCAGAUGUGAAAUCCGGGGGCUCAACCCCCGAACUGCAUUUGAAACUGUUGGUCUUGA